UGGAAAAGAGAUUGCGACAUUCAUCUAUACAAUGGAUGCAAAGGUUGUCCUCAACUUACAACUGCAAUUAAGACCAGAAUGUUUAUUGUUAAGCAAGGCGGUUGAAUGCAAGUCAUGUCCAAGUGCCCAAAUUUUGAUCAUGGAGAUGCUGUGAGAGUUGUACAGGGAUAUAUGGAAGUUACAAUGUGAAGUUGACAAUAUGAAGCAAAACAAAAAUAGCAUCAACAACAACAAAACACACACUGCCAUGACUUUAUCUGUGUGAAUGUACAUCUGGGAAUGGGUUCUGGACUUGGAUUUUCAAAAUAUUGCCUGGAUAACAUCAUGGUUUAAACAUCAAAAUCUGGCCAUGAGAUAUAUGGAUUGUUGCGUUCAGAACCUUGCCUGGAUCAGCUGACUCAUCCUGCACUUGUAUCUCCUCUGGCACCAUAAUUUUUAUGGUGCACACUGACAUUCAGACAGUUUCAGAGUUAAGUUUGAGCUUAAUUUGUACCAGGAAUUAACAUUUUGAAAUCUAAAGGCAGAACUAAUGUUCCAUCCGUAAGCUGACCAAAUUAGUCUUCUAUUCCUACAGAAUAGCAGUUUAUAUUCCUUCUAUUCAACAGGAAUCCCAGGGAGAUGGUGGCGACAAAAUGGAGGUGCUGGUCUUUGGAGUUCAGCUUGUUGCAAGUGGAAUUGCAGUUCCUCUGAACGAUCCUACAUAUAUAGGACACGUUGACUUCUCUUAGGCCAACCCAGCAACCACCAAGGCAGAUACAGAGUUGGAACUGCUACAAUAUGAGCCGUGGGUCAACAAGAGAAGGUGUUGUCAGACAAACAGGUCACAAAUAUUGUCUUGAAAUCAUUAUGCUUUCUACACAGGAAGUGGCAAGUUCAGUGAUAAUUAGCCAUGUCUUUAUAGUGCAUUUAAUUUCCAUGAUGCCACAAUAGCUGCAACAGAAUGUUCACACAGUAUGUUCAAUGGAGUUGAAAGCUGGUAACCUUAUAGGUGAACUUUAAUUGGAGUAUCCUUAAAUUAAGACUCUAAUAGAUAAUAAGAUCAUUAUUGUUUAGGUCAGCUUCUGCUAAUCUGUGUUUGUGUACUGCAUGUAUUUACCAUAUUAGGCCUGUCAGCUACAGUAUCUGCACUCACACAUGUACAACUGCAAUAUAUGCUAUUUUGCAAUGGAUUUUUGACAUUUUUUAGUUUUUAAAAAAGCAAAGAGAAUUCCAUGCAAGUUGCCAUUUUGUUCAUUUACAUGAUUCAUUUAAAUCAGUUUUUAAACCAAUGUGCUCAGAAUGUAUCAGCAGCAGCUCUAGGGAUGCAUAUUACAAUUAUGACUUUGUCAGAAUGUAAAGGCAGUGGGCUGAGUCAUGAGAUUUAAUAGAGCCAUUCUGAGAUGCUGUAGCCAGGCACGCUGGCUGAGGAAUUCUGGGAGUUGAAGUCCACAAGUCAUAAAGGGCCAAGUUUGAAGACCCCUGCCUAAAAGUUUCUGGUUGGCUAUGAUCGGAUGGAAACAGAAUGCAUGAUUCUUUGGAAGCUAGACACAGUUUUAGUUUGAUCCAGCAAAGCAUUAAGCAUUCAUGUAAGUAGCACUUUAUUUAUUUCAUAAGCAUAAAAGAUAACUAAAUGCCUUCAAAAGCUCAGCUUCAGUUUUUGCUUUCCUUAGGGCAAAAUAUCACAUUUCUAACACCAGAGAAGGUACUUCUCAUUGGGUUGACAUUACCAAAUUAGAAGAGCUGCAUUUCUUAUCUUUGGUAACAUUGUACUUUAAUCCUCUUAUUGUUCCUGCCAACAUGUGACAUACACACAAUUUAGCUACAUUAUAUAAAUUAUACAACUCGCAACAAUUGCUUUUGAUUGUUUUUAUCACUUGAAAAAGGCACGGGCAAUUCUUCUGAAUCAGGGAGAAAGUCUAUAAUUGUAUAGCUGGAAUUAUUGUAGCCAUACAAGAGAUGUGGGAUGUCAGCUGAUUUUGUGCUGGUUGUGUUCUAACUAAACUCAUUCCAUUAAAUUUACAUUGUCAGCACAAAUAGUGCAAGUAGCACUUCACCAAGUUUUCUGUAAAAAUAACUACUAGUUUUUCUUUGUAACUUGUAAGUAAAUGUUAAAACGGCUGAAAAUUGCAUUUGUUAUUCUGUCUUACCUCUACAGUGCCUUUGCACAAGUCAAGGUGGAUAACAGAAUCAACUAGUCAUUGAAAUAAUACCCCCCCCCCAAAAAAAGGGCAAUAUAAUAAAAACAGAGACGGUGGAACAAACAAAACAGCAGCUUUGAAUCAAAUCUUUUUAGCCAAAGAACAGACCCCUUUCUAAACUAGAAAAUGGUGCAGUGAUAUAAGAGAGUGACUUCAUAGAGUCCUAAGAGAUUAAGUUGAUCUCCUUGAAAUUCUAUAGCUCUACUGAAGUUCAACUGAGAGAAAAUCCUUGAAAAUCGCUUUAGGCAAAAUCUGAUGGUAGCUCAAGAAUAUAUGAAGAGGUUCCCGAGAACUUGAACUGAAGUGGUUCAACUUCUAUUGCACUUCUAGCAAUAGUUGUAGAUAGAUCUAUUUAGCAUGUUCAGAUGCCAUGGGAAACCAAAUGACCAGGCUUAUGAUUCUAGUGUCUUAUAUAUAAAACUCAGUCUUGCCAGAGAUGAUCCAUUGCCUCAUUUCAAAGGGUUUUUAGUUCUGGUAAAAAAAUAAUAAUACACAACACAGUAAAUGUAGAUAUUUAUUUCAUGUGACUGUGAAAUGUGUGCUUGUCUCAGUCUAGUUUUGUGUUUUGUUUUUCAUAGGAAAUGGUUGUGUGGGUGGACAGUAUCCUGUUUCUCUGCCAAAAGCAUACAAACAGAACAUCCUAACCGCGCUUCGCGAAAGCCAGGAAACAGGAACGUUGCAGCAUUCAACAAGCUUUAUUCACUAAGUUGAAACUAAGUUAGCACUGGAACAAAGCACCAUUCAUUGCCCUAAAUACAUUCCUCCAACCACACCCAGAGUACACACCCCAAUUAACGGUUAAUUGGUCAUCUAGAAUCCACCUGUCCCCCUCCCCAUACUUGCCUCGUGAUAGUCCUCCACCCCACCGACACCCCGAUCCAGCUAGUACUUAUGUUCGAAACUUAUAUUGAGUCCAUGCGUUCCGUUCACGCCAUUCUCAUUCCCAAUGUCCCACUCAACCUCUUCCUAUAAUACCCCCUCCCGGUAUCCAAGUGUUGUCAGACCCAGCGUCCCAGUUCCCAUCAUUCACAGAGUCACGGUUCCAGCAACAUAAGCUAUAACAGCUCUAACAGUAUUCGGCUUCUCCAUAUUCCAUUUCUACGUAGCCUCCGUCUGGUUGUGUGCUGGCAACAUAGGAUGUUCACGUGACCCAUUCGGCCGCCGCUGUUGGCGAUGUAGCUCAUGAAGCUACCGGACUCGGCCGGAACACAUGGUUAACUGGAACAUUCCGGACUUCGGAAGGUAAGUAUCACGCUGGGUCUGACAUUCAGCCCCCCUCACCACAGGGCCCCCUGAUGGUGAGAAAUGGGAAAUUGAUUAAUCAUGCCAAUGUACAGAUACAAUAACCUUUCUAGUCACUCCCUGGUUUGUGUGGUAGUGCGCUGUGAUACCGACGGAUUAGAUUAGGGGCGGAUAUAUCGUGUUUUUCUACCCAAGAGGCUUCGGACAGAGGGUAUCCCUUCCACAAUAUCAGAUAAUAGAGUCUACCCCCCCUUACUCGUGAAUCAAUUAUGUCCUGUAUUUUAUAUCAUCCUGGCGUAACAGGUCCUGGGGGUGUCUCAUGGAACGGUCCUCCCAUGGGUUUCAACAAACUUACAUGAAAAACCGGGUGUAUCUUACCAAGUAGUUUCGAUGACAAAUUCCAGAUGGCUAACCUAUUGGCACUUGAUGUAACCCAACAAUAACAACGUGGGGAAGACUUGAACAUUAAAAGAUGAACAUCAGAACACACAGUGCAGUAGUUUGGAGAGCCAUGCAUUGUAGCCUUAUUUACCUCAGUAGCCUAAUCACGUAAUUCAAACCCAUGUCAAGAACAUGAAGGCUCCACCCAUAUUUCUUGGCUCUCUCAUAAUGGACCUCAAGUAUAACAGUCUUCCAAGGUUGCAGAGAUGCCCAGCAGAAGUAUUAAAAGAAAGAAACUACAACCAUUAGGAAUUGAAUCUUACUCCUGAUAGUUGAAGAGAGUCUCUGUCCAUAUUGGUCAGCAAGUCGCCCUCUUCUUUUAAAACAUAACUUGGUAUUUAGCAGUUAAUGCAGCAAUAAUUACAGUAGACUCAACUUACAUAGGAGUUAAGCUGUUUGCUCUGCCGUACAUAAUACAAGAUAUAUAUAUCUGUAUAUUUUACCAGAAAAUUCUGAAAAUUUAUGUUGUAUACAAAAAUACUGUUGGGGGAGGCACUCCCUAUUGAUACUGAAAAUCAUAAUAAAAACAUGUAAUCAUGAAAGCCAACAGUUGUACAUACAUAGGUUUUGAGAUGGAUGGUCAUUCCCAGCUUACUGUUUUUGUUUUGUUUUGUUUCCAAUUGUAAAAUCUUUGAGGCUCAUAGCAAUUAAUACUAUUAGAUGAAAAAAUAUAAUUUAGUAUUUGCAAACUGGGAUUUUUUUUUCCAGAAAAGUCCAGUAAGAUAAUCUAGUUCAAAGUAGAGCAUAGUAUGGACCAAUUGAUUGUACUUUCCCUUCGGGUUUUAAUAUAAUAGAUCCUGUAUUCAGUCCACAACAGGCUAAUCCAUGCAUAUUCACAAUGGAAUGGGUUUUUUCUUGUAAUUUCUUUUCAUAUUUCUGUCAUAAUAUUUUCAUAGAUAAGACAAGUGGCUAAUUUACAGUAGAACUCUGCUCUGCAUAAGCCACACAGGUGAAAAUCAAGGAUAUGAUGAUAUAUAAUAGAUUAUGGUAUAAACUGACACUUGUAAAUUCUCAUUAAUUUCAAAUAUAUUUUGUUUUUUUCAUUAAUAGCCAGAGCCUAUUCCCAAGGUCUUGUGCUAAGAAAUAGCCAUGAUUCCCAGGAGUUUUCAUUAGGAGCUGUCCUAGGUCCUGCUCAAUGAGACUCAAGAUUAACUGUUACUCAAAAGAAACAUACUGCUAUUUGUUAUUGGACCUUCUUCAGUGAUCAGUCUUUUCCAGGUUUUAUUUCACACUAUUUCAAUCUGGGGCUGUAAAAAAAAAAACACCUCAAGGCCAUAAAAAUAGACUUGGAUUUCUGGAUAAAAUAGCUUUCAAUUUAGUCCAAUUUAAAACAUAAAAAGACAUUAAACAAUCUAUAUAGCAAAUGUUUUCACAUUUCCAUCUUUUGCUAUGCUAUGAAAUUCUAUGUUAUCAUCCAUAAAAUAAUUAAGAAAGGACAAAUUUGGGGCCAGAAAUCCUUUUAUUUAUACAUCAUAAUGCCUUUAAAAACUGAGCUAUCAAGCAUAUUCCCAGCUCUAUAUUCUUGUCAUAUAUUCCAGUGGCACAUGGGUAAUAUUACUUUGAUUGAUACACAAUUUAAAAAGUCCUAUAUUUUACAAGGAAAAAUGAUCUACUCAGGCAAAGAGCCAUUGUCAUAAGCAAGCCCAUGUUUCCUGGUCAAAGAUGAAUUACAGAUUCAAAGGUUUAUUUCCUUUUCACAAUACAAGAGAAAAGAAUAUUUGACAGGUUUCUAGGACUUCAGAAGUCUGCUGACAACCAAAAAUAAAAUAAAUAAAAUAAAAAAUAUGACAGCUCUUAGAUCCCAAUGUAAUUCAACAGGCUGCUGUGCACAAAUCAAAGGCAGCAUUCAAAAGGGAAAUUCUUUUUUCCUCCAUUUUGUAUGGGAACUAUGUGUGAUAUAGUGGAUUAGUUUGCAGGAUGUAUGUUUGAUAAAUAGUAUUCAUUUUAUUACUUGUGGGUUUUUUUCCUGCUUUGUCCAAAAAGAAAAGAAUUCAGAGCUUUAUUUUUAAAACUAUAUUUUAAAAAGUUUAAAAUCUAAGUAAGCUUGCAAACCUUUAGGGAGAAUAUCUUGGUCACCAACAGAUGGUUCAGAGAUAGAGUCUCCAAGGGUGAUUGAGGAGAUCAAAAUCAGAAAGUAUAGUCCAACUUUGGAACUCGCUUAUAAUUUUUUUAAAAAAAUACUCCUUCUAAAGUUCUUCUUUCUUCUAUAUUAGAGCUCCAAAAUUUGGAAAAGGAAUGGGGAGAGAAGAACAAUGUCCCUUUUUUAAUGUCUGCUGGUGUUGGUUUAGAGCUUUAAUAUUUAUAUCUUCAGAGUCUCAGAUAUGGAGAUAAAUUUAUUAGUUCUGUGGUAAAGGAUAUUUCUGACUUGGCAAGGAAGCUAACCCAAACUCAAACUCUCUUGCACCAUUGUGCAAGUCUAGAGCUGGCAGUGUUUUAGAUGACUAAGAGGCUUUUGGAUUAUAGUUCUGCAAAAUUGCAGGUAGAUUGCCUCAUAAAUACUAGUCUAUGACAAAAAAUAAAGAUUGAUUGACUCGGGAUUUUGAUUUUAAACACAUACACAGAGAAACACAAACACACUUUCUUUAAUCAUUAAAAUACUUGAGACAGCAAUACUACUGGAUUUUCAAUAGAAAAAAGCAUGAAUAUUUGCAUAGCUGCAUUAUGUAUAGACCCAGUUCAUUAUAGUGAUUUAAAACAAUAGACAUAAUUAGUUCUAAUCCUGCUUAGGCCCAAAUGCAGCCUGGUGGCUUUGGGCCAAUCAGUCUCUUCCAGUCCUAGGAAGAAGGAAGUGAUUUUUUUUUCCAAAAAUGUUGUUCAGAAAACUGCAGGGACUUGUCCAGGUAGUCAUCCAUAGUUAGUAAUGACAUGAAGCUCCAUAUACACACACAUGCACACACACAAAACACACAUACACACACACAUGCAUAUACAAAUCUGAAUUUAAGAAUGCUUAAGAAAUUUGAUUUUUGUGAACUGUUAAAAACUAACUUGACAUAAUAUAAUAUAUUCAUCAUUUUUUUCUUCUUAAAUGAUUUGAUGCAAUUUUUUGCUCAGAAAAAAAUGAGAAAAUAUAAUAAAUAUAAGGUUUGAAUGGCAUUUUUACAAGUUAUUGCAUGCAAUACAUUUGGAAAUAUUAUUUUCGAUUUUUAAAAAGAAUCCAAAUAUUAUGGAAAGCAGGCUAGCAUAGACUUUUGAGGAAACACAUAUAAAACUGCAUGGACUGGAAAUAGACUGACCUACCCCUUCCCAGACAAGACCUAUGGGAAAAAACCCAAUUAAAUUAGAUAAAUGGGAUAUAAAAUAUGGAUAUUGUCUCAUUAGUAAUUGAAGCAAUCUGCUAAUGAAAUGACAGAAAUGAAAUCAAACCACAACAGAAUACAUAUAAAAAUAAAAACCCUCCUCUCUAACUAAAAUUGAUAUAGUAAAUGAAUGAUAACUGACCCUUGUUUUCUCAGGAGUCUGAUACAUUUACAAAAAGUAGAAAUAUAUAACUUGCUUUUGUCACUGUUGCAUAGUGGGUAGAAUGUUAUACUUGGAUUGGGGUUCAACCCCUUUCAGCUAUGAUACUCAGUGCCUUUGGGCUAAUUCUUCUGGGUUUGUCUAACUUCCUCUGGGUCUAUCUGGCUUCCUAAGAUAUAGUGUGACUACUCCAUCUAUACUGGUCUGAGGUCUUUGGAGGAGAUAAAAAAAUAUCUGUUACAAAUGGCUCUGUUAAACCAGGGGUCUUCAAACUUGGCCCUUUUAUGACUUGUGGACUUCAACUCCCAGAAUUCCUCAGCUAGGCGUGCCUGUGUUAAACCAUGCUAUGAUAAUUAAAGUAUUUAAUAUGUUGGUGCAAAGCAGGCACAAUCAUCCUCAAUCAGCAGCUUAAGGCAAAGAUCAUGUUCACAUGGCAAAAAAGAAGUGGCUGCAGAUUACUUCCAAUCUGGGAAGGAAAUGUGCCAUUUUACUUCUAAAAUUUGUUUCCGUGGGUGGAUUUCAUUUAGUGGACUAUCACUAAAAAAAAAAAAAAAA
Molecule: long non-coding RNA, 7874 nt
Organism: Crotalus tigris (Tiger rattlesnake)
Lineage: Eukaryota; Metazoa; Chordata; Lepidosauria; Squamata; Viperidae
Exons: 9
Source: RefSeq, a predicted model, not a curated record